This 349-nucleotide long non-coding RNA is filed under the name Monodelphis domestica (gray short-tailed opossum). RNAcentral describes it as "lncRNA (ENSMODG00000032641.2)". The record is from RNAcentral. Lineage: Eukaryota; Metazoa; Chordata; Mammalia; Didelphimorphia; Didelphidae.
CUAUUGUUAGGUCUGACAUCACAUUACAUGUGUGAUCUAAACAAUGUGGGGCUUGCUGGCAGUGAAGCCCCCCAGGAAACGUUCUAGUCUUGUGGAGCCAGAAUCUGCAAUGGUCACAUUCCCUACAUUACUAAAGAAAAAAAACUGGCUUGUCAACCUGACCACCCUUAGUAGAAGACAGGAAUGGGGCCUGCAUGACUACUUCCAGAAUAAAGAUUUACUUCUUCACCAGACUGCGAUGCAAUCUGAUACUACACGCACACACCAUUACCACUCUAAUGAGGAGCCGAAAAUAGAAAAGCCAAUAGGAAAAAAACUACAGAAAGGGAUUAAUAAACAACUCCAUAGG